This is a microRNA precursor of Sorghum bicolor (sorghum), 109 nucleotides long. It matches the Rfam family "MIR5565 microRNA precursor family". NCBI's taxonomy places the organism in Eukaryota, Viridiplantae, Streptophyta, Magnoliopsida, Poales, Poaceae. The record is from Rfam.
GUAGUCAGAUUCACAUCAAUCCACAUGUGUUGAGGCGGGUUGGAGUGAAACUGGAACUAAAUUCCACCCUAAUUCACUCCAACACAUGUGGAUUGAGGCGAAUCCGACA